Molecule: ribosomal RNA, 405 nt
Filed under: uncultured bacterium
Lineage: Bacteria
Description: partial 16S ribosomal RNA
Rfam family: Bacterial small subunit ribosomal RNA
Source: RNAcentral
AUUGAACGCUGGCGGCAGGCUUAACACAUGCAAGUCGAACGAGUGGCGGACGGGUGAGUAAUGAUUGGGAAUCUAGCUGGUGGAGGGGGAUAACUAAGGGGAACUGUAGCUAAUACCGCGUACAAUAGGAUGGGCCCAAGUGGGAUUAGGGAGUUGGUGAGGUAAAGGCUCACCAAGCCGACGAUCUUUAGCGGGUCUGAGAGGAUGACCAGCCACACUGGAACUGAGACACGGCCCAGACUCCUACGGGAGGCAGCAGUGGGGAAUAUUGCGCAAUGGGGGCAACCUGACGCAGCCAUGCCGCGUGAAUGAAGAAGGCCUUCGGGUUGUAAAGUUCUUUCGGUAGCGAGGCGUUAACUACAGAAGAAGCACCGGCUAACUCCGUGCCAGCCGCCGCGGUAAUUC